GCCGGGUGCAGUGGCACGUGCCUGUAGUCCCAGCCACUCGGGAGGCUGAGGUGGGAGGAUCGCUUGAACCCAGGAGUUCUGGGCUGUAGUGUGCUAUGCCAAUCGGAUGUCCACACUAAGUUCGGCAUCAAUAUGGUGACCUCCCGGGAGCAGGGGACUACCAGGUUGCCUAAAGAGGGGUGAACUGGCCCAGGUCGGAAACGGAGCAGGUCAAAAUUCCCAUGCUGAUCAGUAGUGGGAUCACGCCUGUGAAUAGCCACUGCACUCCAGCCUGGGCAACAUAACGAGACCCCAUCUCU
This 299-nucleotide signal recognition particle RNA is filed under the name Aotus nancymaae (Ma's night monkey). RNAcentral's name for it is "Metazoan signal recognition particle RNA (ENSANAG00000007568.1)". It matches the Rfam family "Metazoan signal recognition particle RNA". Rfam says of the family: The signal recognition particle (SRP) is a universally conserved ribonucleoprotein. It is involved in the co-translational targeting of proteins to membranes. Lineage: Eukaryota; Metazoa; Chordata; Mammalia; Primates; Aotidae. The record is from RNAcentral.